UAACGCGUGGGUAACCUGCCUCAUACAGGGGGAUAACAGUUAGAAAUGACUGCUAAUACCGCAUAAGCGCACAGUGCUGCAUGGCACAGUGUGAAAAACUCUGGUGGUAUGAGAUGGACCCGCGUCUGAUUAGCUAGUUGGUGGGGUAACGGCCUACCAAGGCGACGAUCAGUAGCCGGCCUGAGAGGGUGAACGGCCACAUUGGGACUGAGACACGGCCCAA
RNAcentral lists this ribosomal RNA (223 nucleotides) under uncultured bacterium. RNAcentral describes it as "partial 16S ribosomal RNA". It matches the Rfam family "Bacterial small subunit ribosomal RNA", at positions 111 to 334 of the family's 1533-position model. The record is from RNAcentral.